GCCUCCUACAAAAUGACGAAAAGACAGCAUAUGGAUCAUUAGGAUGGCAAAACCCUUACUAGGACCAGGAAUUUACUAAGAUGAGAGAGCUUGCUGAGGACACAUUCACUGGGUAACUGUCAUAUCGAUAUGCACACUUGGUCAAUACAACAGUCUAUGUGUUAGAGCUGGGAAGAUUGGGUACAACGUCAACAUCGUCACAGACACUGAUUAAUUCACCAAAAAUCGGAGGAGGAAGUGGUGCAGUUUGGCAUUUUUGUACUUAUGGCCUUGUCCUGGCAUUGGCU
Rana temporaria (common frog) is the source of this 287-nucleotide long non-coding RNA. RefSeq lists it as uncharacterized. The record is from RefSeq and is a predicted model, not a curated record. The transcript is spliced from 3 exons. Lineage: Eukaryota; Metazoa; Chordata; Amphibia; Anura; Ranidae.